This 433-nucleotide ribosomal RNA is filed under the name uncultured bacterium. Its description in RNAcentral is "partial 16S ribosomal RNA". It matches the Rfam family "Bacterial small subunit ribosomal RNA", at positions 29 to 507 of the family's 1533-position model. The record is from RNAcentral.
AACGAACGCUGGCGGCAUGCCUAACACAUGCAAGUCGAACGAGACCUUCGGGUCUAGUGGCGCACGGGUGCGUAACGCGUGGGAACCUGCCCUUAGGUUCGGAAUAACUCCCCGAAAGGGGUGCUAAUACCGGAUAAUGUCUUCGGACCAAAGAUUUAUCGCCUUUGGAUGGGCCCGCGUUGGAUUAGCUAGUUGGUAGGGUAAAAGCCUACCAAGGCGACGAUUCAUAGCUGGUCUGAGAGGAUGAUCAGCCACACUGGGACUGAGACACGGCCCAGACUCCUACGGGAGGCAGCAGUGGGGAAUAUUGGACAAUGGGCGAAAGCCUGAUCCAGCAAUGCCGCGUGAGUGAUGAAGGCCUUAGGGUUGUAAAGCUCUUUUACCCGGGAUGAUAAUGGCAGUACCGGGAGAAUAAGCUCCGGCUAACUCCGUG